Molecule: ribosomal RNA, 253 nt
Filed under: uncultured bacterium
Lineage: Bacteria
Description: partial 16S ribosomal RNA
Rfam family: Bacterial small subunit ribosomal RNA
Source: RNAcentral
UACGUAGGGGGCAAGCGUUGUCCGGAAUCAUUGGGCGUAAAGAGCGUGUAGGCGGCCCGAUAAGUCCGCUGUGAAAGUCCAGGGCUCAACCCUGGAAUGCCGGUGGAUACUGUCGGGCUCGAGUUCGGAAGAGGUGAGUGGAAUUCCUGGUAUAGCGGUGAAAUGCGUAGAUAUCGAGAGGAACACCUGCGGCGAAGGCGGGUUGCUGGGCUGAUACUGACGCUGAAGCGCGAAAGCCAGGGGAGCGAACGGG